RNAcentral lists this long non-coding RNA (5194 nucleotides) under Lupinus angustifolius (narrow-leaved blue lupine). RNAcentral's name for it is "long non-coding RNA (LANG_LNC002756)". Lineage: Eukaryota; Viridiplantae; Streptophyta; Magnoliopsida; Fabales; Fabaceae. The record is from RNAcentral.
UCUUCAUUCAUAGCCUCCAAGCAUUAACAAUGCAGAAUUUAAAUACAGAAGCUUGAAUCAUUUAGGGUUACUAAAGAGACUGGGCUUAAACAAGAGCCCAUUCUGGAAACUUAAAGACAAACAUUAAGAUAAAUCAAUAUUUCACCACAAAGUCAGAAAGCCAAUUGGGUCUUUGUUUGAUACGUGUGGGCCUUUGGACCAUGAUAGGUUGUGGGCUCAUAUCAUCACUUAUCCCUCCAAGAGACACCUUGUCCUCAAGGUGUGUGGAAGCUUCGGUAGUGUGAAUCCCACGUGAGUGGGUAAUGCAACGGUCAGCCAGAGUGGGUGGAGGACAGCUGUCAUCUUUGGACGGCUGGAUCCGUGUUGGCGCCAAAAGAGGAGAUUGAAUGGAUGGUCCAGAUGUAUGCAGAGGAGAGAUGGGAAGUGGACCGUGGAGCGCUCCUUGAGACGCGUAGCGCAUUAAUGAAGGUGCAGGGCGUGGCAGGUUAUCCAAAGGUCCAGAAGCAUUGACCACAUCCAACGGUGUGAUAUUAAUGGGGUUUGCUGCCCGAGGUGAAGAGAGAGUAAUGGGUGGGAUAUUGGUUCCAGCAGUUCCCAAGUCAGAAGUACAUUCAUUGUACGUUCCAACCCCCACACAUUCUUUCGAAGGGUUCUCUGCCCAGCUUUCUUCCACCUUCUUUUUUUCUUCCACCGUGAAGCCUUUGUGCUUUAGAGAAGGCUCCCCACCGUGGGAAGUCUUUGUUACCACAAACUCGCGCCUCCCCUUUCUCCCAUUACCCGUGAUGACACCAAGGUUUGGGUCAUUGGUGACCUUGCUAUUAUCCUGAACUUGGGUUGCUGUCGGUGCUGAUGCUAUGGGACGUGAGUCUUGGAGCAAAUCGUCACGUGGGAGUUCAACAAGGUGAGACUCUGGAUCGCCAUGGAACCGUCGGAGCAAGGAGACAUGGAACACCGGGUGGAUGCGGACCGAAGGAGGAAGAUCGAGUUCGUAAGCCACGGGGCCAAUACGGCGUGUAACUCGGAAUGGACCGAAAAAUCUGCGGGAUAGUUUGUUAGAGCGACGACGGGCCACAGUGUGUUGUCUGUAUGGUUGGAGCCGGAGAAGGACCCACUCCCCUUCUACAAAGGUAACAUCUUUUCGCUUUAAAUCUGCUUGUGACUUCAUGCGUUGUUGAGCAUGAAGAAGAUUUUGUUUCAAGGUAACUAACAUUUCCGAUCUGGAUUGUAGUAGCUCAUGGAUCUGUGGGUGUGUGAUGGAACUUGGAAGAUAGUCCCGAAGAGUAGGUGGUGGUCGGCCGUAGAGCGCUUCAAAGGGGGUGAGCUUAAGUGAGGAAUGCAGAUUUGUAUUGUGCCAAUAUUCGGCCAAAGGAAGGUGGACAAACCAGCGGGUCGGGUGAGUCCCCGUGAAGCAACGAAGGUAUGUCUGUAAUCCCCUGUUCACAACCUCUGUUUGACCAUCGGAUUGAGGAUGGUAGGCAGUGCUAUAGCACAGGGAUGUCCCUAAGAGUUUGAAUAACUCUUUCCAGAAUCCACUAAGGAAAACUGGGUCCCUGUCCGAAACAAUACUCUUUGGUACACCAUGGAGUUUGCAGAUGUCGUUUAAAAAACGACGAGCUAAUGAUUCGGCCGAGAACCUAGUCGGCAGAGCAAUAAAGUGGCAAUACUUGGUGAGUCUAUCCACGAUAACCCAAAUCACCGUGUGACCAUGGGAAGGAGGUAAGUGGGUGAUAAAGUCCAUGGAUAUGUCUUCCCAUACCUUCUCUGGUAUUUUUAGUGGCUGUAAUAACCCAUGUGGUUUCUGUGGCAGGGACUUGUUCGAUUGGCAGGUGGCACAUUCACGGACCAGUUGCUUGACGUGCUUGGUAACCCCUGGCCAUGAACAGGAAGCUGUGAGUCUGGCCAAAGUUGGUCGCCAACCAGAGUGCCCAGCCAUCGGUGAUUCGUGAUACUCCUUCAUCAAGGUUAACCGAAGAUCAUCAACAUCAGGUAUGAAAAGUUUGUUUUGAUAGAAUAAGAACCCUUGUGAAAAUUGAAACUGAUCCGUGGCAUGCUGUUGUAUUACUGUUUGUCCAGGUGGUGUAGCAUAGAAGGAACGAAGUCGAUCCAAAAGUUGAGGUAUGGACGAAGUCACAGAGAAAAAUUGGGCGGAGUCAUCCGAAUGGCAUCGAGACAAAGCAUCAGCGACCCGAUUUGAGGUACCUGUUCGAUACCUAAUAUCAUAAGUGAACCCUAUCAAUUUUGUGGCCCAUUUCUGUUGUUCUGGUGUGUGGAAACCCUGAGUCAUCAGGUGUUUCAAACUCUGUUGAUCUGUGUAAAUGUUGAAUUUUCUGCCAAUUAAAUACUGACGCCACUUUUUUACAGACUCUGUUACGGCAAACAUCUCGCGGACAUAGGCUGAGGCAUGCUGCAUCCUUGGAGUCAUUUUCUUGCUGAAGAAAGCCAAAGGAUGGCCCCCUUGUGAAAGCACCGCGCCUAUAGCAACUGCUGAAGCAUCGGUUUCAACAUCGAAUGGCACGGCGAAGUCUGGAAGAUGGAGCACUGGAGUUGUAGACAUAGCUUCUUUUAAUUUUGUAAAGGCAUUGUGAGCCUCACUUGUCCAUGUAAAACAUUGUAAUUUUAAGAUGUCGGUGAGAGGAGCGGCGAGUGUGGCGUAGUUUUUGACAAACUUUCUGUAGAAACCGGUGAGUCCCAAGAAACCCCUGAGAGUCGUGUGAGAACGUGGCUGAGGCCAUUCCUGCAUUGCAUGGAUUUUGUCGGGAUCCGGUCUUACCACCCCGGCAGAAAUAAUAUGACCCAAAUAACUAACCGUAUCAACACCAAACAGACAUUUGGAGAUCUUGGCAUAAAACUGGUUAGUAACAAGUAGGUCCAAAAUAAUGCUCAGAUGUACAAGAUGAUCAGUUAAGUUAGAACUAUAAAUAAGGAUAUCAUCAAAGAAAACCAGAACAAACCUCCGCAAAUGGGGCCUCAAGAGGUCGUUCAUUGCUGCUUGAAAAGUGGACGGGGCAUUGGUUAGCCCAAACGGCAUAACAAGAAAUUCGUAGUGACCAUCAAAUGUGCGAAAGGCUGUUUUCGCUGUGUCACUAGGUUACACCCUGAUUUGGUGAUAUCCAUAUCGUAAGUCGAUCUUGGAAAAAAUGGUUGCUGCACCGAGCUCAUCCAACAACUCAUCAAUGGUGGGAAUCGGAAAGCGAUCACGAAUGGUGAUUGCAUUUAGAACCCGAUAAUCCACACAGAAUCUCCAUGUGCCAUCCUUUUUUUAACAAGUAAAACUGGUGAAGAGAAAGGGCUUGUGCUAGGUGUUAUAAUGUCGUCUUUUAACAUUUCUUGAAUCAUUGUAGUCAUGAUUUCCUUUUGUGAGUGAGGGUAACGGUAGGGUUUGACUGAGACAGGGGCUGAGUUGGGUAAGAGGGAAAUGGAAUGAUCGUGGGGGCGAAAGGGAGGUAGGCCUUGUGAUUUCUGAAAAAUUUUGUCAAAUUUGGUGAGGAGAGUUUGUAUGNNNNNNNNNNNNNNNNNNNNNNNNNNNNNNNNNNNNNNNNNNNNNNNNNNNNNNNNNNNNNNNNNNNNNNNNNNNNNNNNNNNNNNNNNNNNNNNNNNNNGGACGAUAAUGAGGAUGAGGGUAGGAAGUGGAUGAGGAGGAGGAUGAGGAUAGGAUGAGGACGAGAAUGAGGACGAGGAUAGGAGGAGGAGGAGGUUGAGCAUGAGGAUGAGGAUGAGGAAGAGGAUGAGGACGAGGAUAGGAUGAGGUUAGAAUGUGGAAGAGGAUAAGGAUGAGGAAGAGGAUGAGGAUGACGAUGACGAUGAGGAUAGGAUGUCGAAUAGGACGAGGAUGAGGAUAGGAUGAGGACGAGAAUGAGGAUGAGGAUAAGAUGNNNNNNNNNNNNNNNNNNNNNNNNNNNNNNNNNNNNNNNNNNNNNNNNNNNNNNNNNNNNNNNNNNNNNNNNNNNNNNNNNNNNNNNNNNNNNNNNNNNNAGAGUCUUUGAUCUUUGAUUCCACCAAUUUUGCAAGUCCCAAGGCAUCUGUUAUGUGAGAUGGGCGUAAUAUUGCUAGUUCGCGCCUUAUCUCAGGAAUAAGUCCCGACAAAAAACAAUUUAGGAUGACUUCGGGAGAUAAUCCCCAAAUUCGAUUGCACAAUUUUUCAAAAUGCUUCUGAUAUUCUUCCACAGACCCUGUUUGGCGGAGCUUAAACAACUCUGCUUGGUGGUUUUCAUAACAAGAGGGACCAAAACGACUCUCCAAGCACCUAGUAAAACUAUCCCAAUCAGUAAAUGUUGCAUUGUGAAAAGCCCAUUUGAACCAGCUCAGGGCAUCUCCCUUCAUAUAAAAUGAGAUAAUAUGAAUUCGCUGAUCUGGGGGAACUUGAUAAAGUAGGAAAAACUGCUCUGCUUGGAAUAACCAGUCUAGUGGUUCAGAUCCGUCAAAAGGAAUAAGCUGCAGCUUGGGUGGUCUAGGCUGUGUGGGUGAGAAGGGCAUUUGGGGAAAGUUGGGCCGUAGGUAGGGAUGAGGGGGUAUGAAAAAUGGGGAAACGGGGGUGUGUGUAUAGUUGGGAAACUGGUUGGGGGAAUGUUGUUGAGGUGGGGGAAUCGGAAUAUUAGGAUUGGGGUUGGCCUGAUUUGGUGUUAAAUUUGGGGGUAUGGAAAUAGUUGGGUGCGUGUGGGAAAUGUUUGAAGAUCCAGGUUGAUUUGGGGUUAGUUGAGGGGGUUCAGGGGAAACUGUGUUCAUACCUGCCAGUUUUUCUGUGAUAGAACGAAGAGCUUCAGCAAUGGUCUCAUGCCUGGAGUCUUGUUGCUCCUGGUUUUCUUUGAGUUUGUCUGCGAAGAGUUGUAAGAGAUUGUCAUCAAGAUCUUUGUUUGUAGUUUUAGGAGGCAUGAUAUCAGGAAUGAAAGCACCAAGUUGUUAGGAUCUUACUAACUAAUUACUAUAGCUGGAGAAAUUAAAGACAGACACAGAAAAUUUAAAUAGAAAAUAUCUUCAUUCAUAGCCUCCAAGCAUUAACAAUGCAGAAUUUAAAUACAGAAGCUUGAAUCAUUUAGGGUUACUAAAGAGACUGGGCUUAAACAAGAGCCCAUUCUGGAAACUUAAAGACAAACAUUAAGAUAAAUCAAUAUUUCACCACAAAGUCAGAAAGCCAAUUGGGUCUUUGUUUGAUACGUGUGGGCCUUUGGACCAUGAUAGGUUGUGGGCUCAUAUCACA